CUGCGCAGCUUACACAUGCAAGUCGAGCGGUAACAGGGGGUGCUUGCACCCCGCUGACGAGCGGCGGACGGGUGAGUAAUGCAUAGGAAACUGCCCAGUAGUGGGGGAUAGCCCGGGGAAACCCGGAUUAAUACCGCGUACGCCCUUCGGGGGAAAGCAGGGGAUCUUCGGACCUUGCGCUAUUGGAUGUGCCUAUGUCGGAUUAGCUAGUUGGUGGGGUAAAGGCCUACCAAGGCGACGAUCCGUAGCUGGUCUGAGAGGAUGAUCAGCCACAUCGGGACUGAGACACGGCCCGAACUCCUACGGGAGGCAGCAGUGGGGAAUAUUGGACAAUGGGGGCAACCCUGAUCCAGCCAUGCCGCGUGUGUGAAGAAGGCUUUCGGGUUGUAAAGCACUUUCAGUGAGGAGGAAAACUCUGCGACUAAUACUCGUAGGGCUUGACGUUACUCACAGAAGAAGCACCGGCUAACUCCGUGCCAGCAGCCGCGGUAAUACGGAGGGUGCAAGCGUUAAUCGGAAUUACUGGGCGUAAAGCGCGCGUAGGUGGUUUGAUAAGCGAGAUGUGAAAGCCCCGGGCUUAACCUGGGAACGGCAUUUCGA
This 600-nucleotide ribosomal RNA is filed under the name Marinobacter flavimaris. Its description in RNAcentral is "bacterial SSU rRNA". It matches the Rfam family "Bacterial small subunit ribosomal RNA", at positions 40 to 631 of the family's 1533-position model. Lineage: Bacteria; Pseudomonadati; Pseudomonadota; Gammaproteobacteria; Pseudomonadales; Marinobacteraceae. The record is from RNAcentral.